GGAAUAUUGGGCAAUGGAGGGAACUCUGACCCAGCGACGCCGCGUGCGGGAUGAAGGCCUUCGGGUUGUAAACCGCUUUCAGCAAGGAAGAAGCGAAAGUGACGGUACUUGCAGAAGAAGCACCGGCUAACUAUGUGCCAGCAGCCGCGGUAAUACAUAGGGUGCAAGCGUUGUCCGGAAUUAUUGGGCGUAAAGAGCUCGUAGGUGGUUCGUCACGUCGGAUGUGAAAAUCUGGGGCUUAACCCCAGACCUGCAUUCGAUACGGGCGAGCUAGAGUGUGGUAGGGGAGACUGGAAUUCCUGGUGUAGCGGUGGAAUGCGCAGAUAUCAGGAGGAACACCAAUGGCGAAGGCAGGUCUCUGGGCCAUUACUGACACUGAGGAGCGAAAGCGUGGGGAGCGAACAGGAUUAGAUACCCUGGUAGUCCACGCUGUAAACGGUGGGCACUAGUUGUGGGAACCUUCCACGGUUUCUGCGACGCAGCUAACGCAUUAAGUGCCCCGCCUGGGGAGUACGAUCGCAAGAUUAAAACUCAAAUGAAUUGACGG
This 547-nucleotide ribosomal RNA is filed under the name uncultured bacterium. RNAcentral's name for it is "bacterial SSU rRNA". It matches the Rfam family "Bacterial small subunit ribosomal RNA", at positions 358 to 916 of the family's 1533-position model. The record is from RNAcentral.